AAAAGUCAUCUCUGAUCCAGUCUAAUCGAAUUCUAUUUGCCUUUGAACGGUCUUCACUUUAAUUGAUCUAAACCUGUGUCUCACCAAAAGGGAAGUUCAGACUUGCACAUGGUAUUCCUUUCACUCAAUAGCACAAGUACCAUUGGUUUGCAGCAAAGCAUUUGGCUCAUAAAUAAACAAUCUGUUUACUUGGAUUUUACUUACAUAAUCUUAGUAAAACCUGAUUAAAUUCUUUUUGCAUGUACUCUAUUCUUGAUUUAUUCCAAUGAUGAAACUGCAGAAAUGCGUAUCUCCGUUUGCUGCUUAGCAGACUUUCUGUCAUACUUCAUUUUCUACAUCAAAAACUAAAGGAUGUCAUUUCUUGACUAAUUCUCUAAUUUUUCUUCUGUAUGUGAAGAAUAUUCUACAAAAAUUUCAAACCAUUAUUUUAAUUUGGUUUAUUUUCAAAAAAUGAAACAAGAGCGAAGAUUUUGGAACACUGUAACCAAGAUACACAUUUUUGCAGUUUCGCUGUUCUUUCUUUGUACUAUUCUUCCAAAUAGUUCUUGAUGUAUUUUUAAUCCUAAGUGCAACCUUUCUUUUAAGCAACAUACAAAUAAAUCUUCAUUAUUUUAUUAUAAUGUAUAAGUUUACACUAAAACUUACAAAAGGAAGGAGUGAUUCUUUAAAGCAGCAGCAAAUUCUUUAUCUGGUGGAAAACUGCCAGCAAUGCCAUUCCAAGACGGAACACGACUAGAUAUAAAAUCACACAUUUUUUCCUCCAUCUUGCUCAAAUCUUUACCUGGAUUUAUCACAUAGUAGCCAUCUUCCGGUUUUUCAAUGAUACUGCAUCCAUCUUUCAUUGGAAGUUGCUGUUUGAACCUAUCAUACAUUGCAUGGGCAAAGUGAACAGAAAAUAUUCGGCUGACAGGAUGUCUUCUUAGCACUGGAAUCAUUUCCCAAGGUACUUUAUCUAAAAUCUUGAGAAACAAACAGAUUAUUCAAAAUUAGCCGUGACUGAAGAUCGGAUUUAAUUAUCAACUGACUUGAAUGGCAAACAUCACCAAGAGCUAAGCUUUUUGAGACACGUUAGAUACCCAAAAAAUGCAAAAAGUUCUUGGCCUACCGCAUUUUUCCAAAUAAUUUGCCUUUUGCGAUGAACAUACAAAUGUAGCCUCAAAUUUACAGAGCACGUGCAAUUUUUAAUAAUUAAACCUGUCUUCCCACUUUUUUAAUCCGGUUUUAUGGGCCUUCUCAAGUUCACAGGCCACACUGUGCCACACUAAUUACGAGGUCUAAAAGUUUCUGCACUUCUGGGAUACCCACUUCAGACUUGUCUCUGUCAGAAAUUAUUAUCAGUAUUAAAUAUUUAAAUUCAGAAAGCACAGAAGAUCACUUGACAUCCACAAAAGGCAAUA
RNAcentral lists this long non-coding RNA (1397 nucleotides) under Bemisia tabaci. RNAcentral's name for it is "lncRNA ENSASIAIIG008048". Lineage: Eukaryota; Metazoa; Arthropoda; Insecta; Hemiptera; Aleyrodidae. The record is from RNAcentral.